GAUGAACGCUGGCGGCGUGCCUAAUACAUGCAAGUCGAGCGAACAGACGAGGAGCUUGCUCCUCUGACGUUAGCGGCGGACGGGUGAGUAACACGUGGAUAACCUACCUAUAAGACUGGGAUAACUUCGGGAAACCGGAGCUAAUACCGGAUAAUAUAUUGAACCGCAUGGUUCAAUAGUGAAAGACGGUUUUGCUGUCACUUAUAGAUGGAUCCGCGCCGCAUUAGCUAGUUGGUAAGGUAACGGCUUACCAAGGCGACGAUGCGUAGCCGCCCUGAGAGGGUGAUCGGCCACACUGGAACUGAGACACGGUCCAGACUCCUACGGGAGGCAGCAGUAGGGAAUCUUCCGCAAUGGGCGAAAGCCUGACGGAGCAACGCCGCGUGAGUGAUGAAGGUCUUCGGAUCGUAAAACUCUGUUAUUAGGGAAGAACAAAUGUGUAAGUAACUAUGCACGUCUUGACGGUACCUAAUCAGAAAGCCACGGCUAACUACGUG
Molecule: ribosomal RNA, 497 nt
Filed under: uncultured bacterium
Lineage: Bacteria
Description: partial 16S ribosomal RNA
Rfam family: Bacterial small subunit ribosomal RNA
Source: RNAcentral